ACGUACGGCGACGACGCGCUCAACGCGCGCGCGCUGGACGACGACGACGACGUCUCGGUCUCGGUGUCGGACACGAAUGUGGCGGGAAACGACGGCCACGUCGACGACGCGAUCGGCCCGCGCGCGAAGGCGGACCGGCUCCCGUUUGAACACGCGCGCGACUUUAGCAAAGAGACCAACGCGGUGUCCGCGGCUUCGGGCGCGUUCUAUACACUGGUUCCCAUACGACCGCGCUGGCGUGGUGAACGCCGAUCCUUAAGGACUUUUCCCGGCGUGUCUCUCCGCCCACCCCUCGUGUUCAAUCCCCGCCCUCGAUGCCUUUCAACUCCAACUGACGCCUUUCAACUCCACCCCGACAUCGCUUUGUAUGGAACGACCCUCAGGGCCGCACGUCCAAGGCGUCAUCGCGCUCGCGGACAACCGCGUCGAGGACGGCGGCACGGUCUUGGUCCCCGGGUUCCACGCGACGUUCGCGAAGUGGAGUCGCGCGCUGGGGAGCUCGUGGCGGGCGUACGCGGAGACGCACGCGGACGCGGACGCGAAUCGGUUGGUGUGGCGCGGCGACGGCGCCGGGUCGUUCAAGGCGCGUUCUCCUUACACUGGUCCCCGUACGACCCCGUUCGCGCGGUGAACGCCGAUCCUUAAGGACUUUCUCUCCUGGCGUUUCUCUCCGCCCAGGGUCCCUCGCGUUCAAUCCCGACACACCGCGACGCCUUUCAACUCCAACUGACGCCUUUCAACUACACCCCGACGUCGCUUUGAACGAUGGAACGACCCUAAGUUUGGCGACCGCGACGCGAUCCACGAGAGGAAAACGCGCGUAACCGCGAGGGAAGGGUCGUACGUGAUCUGGGACCAGCGGCUCGCGCACGGGGCGGCGCCGAACGACAGCGACGUG
RNAcentral lists this long non-coding RNA (898 nucleotides) under Micromonas pusilla. RNAcentral describes it as "long non-coding RNA (MPUS_LNC000100)". The record is from RNAcentral. Lineage: Eukaryota; Viridiplantae; Chlorophyta; Mamiellophyceae; Mamiellales; Mamiellaceae.